UGAAUCCAGGACCAGCGCUUCGGUUUCUCAGUUGAGACCAUCGGAGGGACGACAGACUGACUGCCGACACAGCGGCGGAGAACCGGCGUCAAGUCACACGUCAUACGCAGCAGCACUUCCGGUGACGACUUUCAAAGUUUGGAAAAGCCGAUGUCUGAGGCUGAUUUGUGGACAGCCAGCUCAGCCAGAAGCCCAACCUCACUGCCCCAUCUGCUGGACCAGACACAGCAAUGCACAUGUUGCCUUCAAGGCCUCCUCGCUGCAACUAUUAGAUGUGGAAGGAUGAAGCAAGAUUAAGCUGCUGCACAAAGUAAAGAAGAGGAAGUUUAAAGGAGGAAGUAAGGAACCCUGCAGGCAUGACAUUUAUUCUACUAAAUAAA
Molecule: long non-coding RNA, 380 nt
Organism: Sebastes umbrosus (honeycomb rockfish)
Lineage: Eukaryota; Metazoa; Chordata; Actinopteri; Perciformes; Sebastidae
Exons: 3
Source: RefSeq, a predicted model, not a curated record